CCGUCCUUUGUGCUGUGUGUGAGAGGUCGUCAUCCCUUCUCGGGCACCGCACCGAAGGAUGG
RNAcentral lists this microRNA precursor (62 nucleotides) under Marek's disease virus serotype 2 MDV2. RNAcentral's name for it is "microRNA mdv2-mir-M26 precursor". Its record names the gene mdv2-mir-M26. The record is from miRBase by way of RNAcentral. Lineage: Duplodnaviria; Heunggongvirae; Peploviricota; Herviviricetes; Herpesvirales; Orthoherpesviridae.